Molecule: ribosomal RNA, 233 nt
Filed under: uncultured bacterium
Lineage: Bacteria
Description: partial 16S ribosomal RNA
Rfam family: Bacterial small subunit ribosomal RNA
Source: RNAcentral
UGAGGAACAUGACCUUCGGCGGGGGAUAGCCGGCCCAACGGCCGGGUAAUACCGCGUACGACCACAUGGGGACAUCCCUGAGUGGUGAAAGCAGCAAUGCGCCGAUGGAGUGCCUCGCGGCCUAUCAGCUAGUUGGUGAGGUAACGGCUCACCAAGGCGACGACGGGUAGCUGGUCUGAGAGGAUGGCCAGCCACAGUUGGGACUGAGACACGGCCCAGACCUNUACGGGGAG